CUUCUUCCUCCCAAAAUUUUAUUAUUUUUCUUUUUUUUUCUUCUUUUUCUUUUUCUUUUCUUUUCUCCCUUCUUCUUCCUCCCGAGCGCCGCGACCAUCUCCAUCUUCUCUUCUCCUUUCCGUUCGCAGCAAGCAGCCGCCGCGUGACCUCCCGCCCAGUGCCAUGUAACCCUCUGUCCAGGUCUGCGUCGUCGUGCCCAGUCCUAACCGCCGCUGCCACCGUCUCCGUGCCAUUGCACUAUCUCCGUCGAAGCCAAAACCGCCACGCCCUCCGCUCACAACCGUCGUCCAGAUCUGCAUCGCCGGCUGUCUCCCUCUUUUCUCCUCUCUGUUCCGUCCAAACCCAGCCAGACACAACCGUCUCACCGCGCCGUUGUCCAGAUCUGCAACGCCGGGUUCUCACCGGUAGCCCCGUCCCAAUCGUCUCCAUCUCCGUUCGCGAAGCAAGGCCGCCGACCGUUCACGCCGGCUCACCGUCACGAACCACUCUGUCGUGAAGUUGUCUGCCGUUGGCGAAGUGGUGCGUCGUGAAGCUGCCUCUACCUCCGUUCGCAAAUCUGAAAUCGCGCGCGCCCGUGUCUUCCAAUCGUGCGUGUAACGCGACUACACUUCCCCAACCAGGAUGGGUCACAUCUAGAUCUUCGCUAAAUUGCAAUUUCUGCCCUACCACUGUAUUGGGUUUUAGUGUAAGUUCGUAAUUGUGAAUUUGGUAGUUUCCGUAUGAUUGAUUCGUUGAGAUAAAAUGUUAAAUUUAAACGGUUGGUUAAUAUUGCUCUUUGAAGGUGUUAAUUGAGGCGGAGUUAGACCUCAACGAAUCACGACAAGUUUAUUUGGAGUUAAAUUUUCUAUUUAAAUUAGGAUUGGUGUGUUGGACUUUGUUGACCAAGAAAUCUUAAGGAAAUCAAGGCCAAAGGAGAUGUCAUGGCUAUGGGCCGAAGCUUUGAGAAAAAAAGAAUGAAAAAUGAAAUGUGAGAUCUUAAACUUUGAUGGUGUGUAGGGUCUUUUUGUUUGUCUAUGCAUUUUCCAAGUGAAUUUUAGUACUUUUGAAUUUUUCUAUUGAUAUUUUGUUUAUGGUUGCUAUUGAGUUGGUUUGAUUGAAGGAUAGAGGGAAGUGAUUAUUGAUAAUUAUAGGUAUGUUUUCCUUAGUAUUUGAACAUUUUUGUAUUCGUAGCAACCUAACUUUGUUGUUUCUCUUAGUUUGGUUGUGAUUUGAGUAUUUUAUAUUUGGGGUUCAGGAAAGGCAGUAUUUGUUGAAGGAAUUCCCGUGAACUGGUUUCUUGUAAGAAGUAUUGUAAAGUUUUGAAGGUUGGGUUGUGGUAAUGGAAUCACCGUUAUUCCAAUCUUGCGGUAACCUCCAACCAAGCUAAUUUUAAAGGUGUCAAGUGUAUUUUGAUGUAUUUUGAUUUUGGGGAAGAAUUCAUAUGACAAAAGCAUCAAGAAGUCGAUCGUCGGUCUGGAAAGUUAGUGAUAAACAUCCAGGUUGAUUGUUACAAUAUAAAUCUCUUAUUUGUUAAUGUCUUUUCCUUAUCUUAUCCAUCCUCUUUUAACAUAUCUUGCUAAUUUCAUAAGCUAACAUUGAUUGCGAUAGACUAUAAUGCUAGUGAUUCAGAUUCAGAUGAAUUGACUCGUGAUUCUUAACCACACCAAUGUUGUUGAUUUCUCUAUGUCAUGUCAAAACAACCACUUGUAUCUCCUCCACGACAUGUCGUUUUAGAAAUUUAAUUAACUUGUAAUUCUUUGACUUUAUGUGUGGCAUCAAUUAUUCUUUCUUGCA
Cucumis sativus (cucumber) is the source of this 1774-nucleotide long non-coding RNA. RefSeq lists it as uncharacterized. NCBI's taxonomy places the organism in Eukaryota, Viridiplantae, Streptophyta, Magnoliopsida, Cucurbitales, Cucurbitaceae. The transcript has 3 exons. The record is from RefSeq and is a predicted model, not a curated record.